This 492-nucleotide ribosomal RNA is filed under the name uncultured bacterium. Its description in RNAcentral is "partial 16S ribosomal RNA". It matches the Rfam family "Bacterial small subunit ribosomal RNA", at positions 29 to 507 of the family's 1533-position model. The record is from RNAcentral.
AGCGAACGCUGGCGGCAGGCCUAACACAUGCAAGUCGAACGGCAGCACAGUAAGUGCUUGCUCUUACGGGUGGCGAGCGGCGGACGGGUGAGGUAGACAUCGGAAUCUACUUUUUCGUGGGGGAUAACGCAGGGAAAUUUACGCUAAUACCGCAUACGACCUACGGGUGUAAGCAGGGGAUCUUUGGACCUUGCGCGAUUGAAUUAGCCGAUGUCGGCUUAGCUAGUUGGCGGGGAAAAGGCCAACCAAGGCGACGAUCCGUAGCUGGUAUGAGAGGACGGUCAGCCACACUGGACGUGAGCCGGGGUCCAGACUCCUACGGGAGGCCACAGUGGGGAAUAGUAGGCAAUGGGGGGGAGCCUGAUCCAGCCAUACCGGGUGAGUGAAGAACGCCCUCGGGUUGUAAAGCCCUUUUGUUGGUAAAGAAAAGCAGCAGGUUAAUACGCCGCUGUUCUGACGGUACCGAAAGAAUAAGCACCGGCUAACUUCGUG